RNAcentral lists this transfer RNA (58 nucleotides) under Myotis davidii. It matches the Rfam family "tRNA", at positions 8 to 63 of the family's 71-position model. Rfam says of the family: Transfer RNA (tRNA) molecules are approximately 80 nucleotides in length. Their secondary structure includes four short double-helical elements and three loops (D, anti-codon, and T loops). Lineage: Eukaryota; Metazoa; Chordata; Mammalia; Chiroptera; Vespertilionidae. The record is from Rfam by way of RNAcentral.
UGGCUCAGUGGAUAGAGCGUUGGCCUUCAGACUCAAGAGUCACAGGUUCGAUUCCAGU